AUUUUGGACAAUGGGCGCAAGCCUGAUUCAGCAAUGCCGCGUGCAGGAUGAAGGCCUUCGGGUUGUAAACUGCUUUUGUACGGAACGAAAAGCCCUGGGCUCAUACUCUGGGGUCAUGACGGUACCGUAAGAAUACGCACCCGCGAACUAACUUCCAGCAGCCGCGGUAAUACGUAGGGUGCGAGCGUUAAUCGUAAUUACUGGGCGUAAAGCGUGCGCAGGCGGUUUUGUAAGACAGAGGUGAAAUCCCCGGGCUCAACCUGGGAACUGCCUUUGUGACUGCAAGGCUAGAGUACGGCAGAGGGGGAUGGAAUUCCGCGUGUAGCAGUGAAAUGCGUAGAUAUGCGGAGGAACACCGAUGGCGAAGGCAAUCCCCUGGGCCUGUACUGACGCUCAUGCACGAAAGCGUGGGGAGCAAACAGG
This 423-nucleotide ribosomal RNA is filed under the name uncultured bacterium. RNAcentral describes it as "partial 16S ribosomal RNA". It matches the Rfam family "Bacterial small subunit ribosomal RNA", at positions 361 to 776 of the family's 1533-position model. The record is from RNAcentral.